RNAcentral lists this unclassified non-coding RNA (253 nucleotides) under uncultured Planctomycetales bacterium. Its description in RNAcentral is "contains 16S-23S intergenic spacer region". It matches the Rfam family "Bacterial small subunit ribosomal RNA", at positions 524 to 776 of the family's 1533-position model. The record is from RNAcentral. Lineage: Bacteria; Pseudomonadati; Planctomycetota; Planctomycetia; Planctomycetales.
UACGAACUGCGCAAACGUUAUUCGGAAUCACUGGGCUUACAGGGUGCGUAGGCGGCCGAUCAGGUCCGAUGUGAAAUCCCACGGCUCAACCGUGGAAUGGCAUUGGAAACCGAUCGGCUCGAGUGAGCUAGAGAUGCACGGAACUUCCGGUGGAGCGGUGAAAUGUGUUGAGAUCGGAAGGAACACCAGAGGCGAAAGCGGUGCAUUGGGGCUCGUCUGACGCUGAGGCACGAAAGCCAGGGGAGCGAACGGG